AUACGUAGGGUGCAAGCGUUAAUCGGAAUUACUGGGCGUAAAGCGUGCGCAGGCGGUUUUGUAAGACAGUGGUGAAAUCCCCGGGCUCAACCUGGGAACUGCCUUUGUGACUGCAAGGCUGGAGUGCGGGAGAGGGGGAUGGAAUUCCGCGUGUAGAAGUGAAAAGCGCAGAUAUGCGGAGGAACACCUGGCGCGAAGGCGAUCUCCGCGACGUACAUUGAGGCUCGUGCACAGUAGCGUGAGGAGCACACAGGAUUAGAUGCCCUGGUAGUCCACGCACUAAAAGAUGUCAAGUGGGUGUUGGGGAUAUAUUUUCUCAGUUUCGAAGAAAUCGCGUGAAGUUUACCGCCUGGGGAGUACGGCCGCAAGGUUAAAACUCAAAGGAAUUGACGGGG
RNAcentral lists this ribosomal RNA (395 nucleotides) under uncultured bacterium. Its description in RNAcentral is "partial 16S ribosomal RNA". It matches the Rfam family "Bacterial small subunit ribosomal RNA", at positions 523 to 918 of the family's 1533-position model. The record is from RNAcentral.